AUACGUAGGUGGCAAGCGUUGUCCGGAUUUACUGGGUGUAAAGGGCGCGUAGGCGGGCAGGCAAGUCAGAUGUGAAAUCUCCGGGCUCAACCCGGAAAUUGCAUUUGAAACUGCAGGUCUUGAGUAUCGGAGAGGCAAGCGGAAUUCCUAGUGUAGCGGUGAAAUGCGUAGAUAUUAGGAGGAACACCAGUGGCGGAGGCGGCUUGCUGGACGACAACUGACGCUGAUGCGCGAAAGCGUGGGGAGCAAACAGGAUUAGAUACCCUGUAGUCCACGCCCUAAACGAUGAAUACUAGGUGUGGGGGGACUGACCCCCUCCGUGCCGGAGUAAACACAAUAAGUAUUCCACCUGGGGAGUACGACCGCAAGGUUGAAACUUAAAGGAAUUGACGGGG
This 395-nucleotide ribosomal RNA is filed under the name uncultured bacterium. RNAcentral describes it as "partial 16S ribosomal RNA". It matches the Rfam family "Bacterial small subunit ribosomal RNA", at positions 523 to 918 of the family's 1533-position model. The record is from RNAcentral.